RNAcentral lists this ribosomal RNA (517 nucleotides) under uncultured archaeon. RNAcentral's name for it is "bacterial SSU rRNA". It matches the Rfam family "Archaeal small subunit ribosomal RNA", at positions 93 to 593 of the family's 1478-position model. The record is from RNAcentral.
GUAACACGUAGUCAACCUGCCCUGGAGACGUGGACAACCCCGGGAAACUGGGAUUAAUCCGCGAUGGGUCAUCUCAUCUGGAAGGAGAGAUGGCUGAAAGGGGCGCGCGGGCUUCUUCCGUGCAUCCGCUCCAGGAUGGGACUGCGUCCGAUCAGGCUGUUGGCGGGGUAAUGGCCCACCAAACCUGUAACCGGUACGGGCUUUGAGAGAAGGAGCCCGGAGAUGGACACUGAGACAAGGGUCCAGGUCCUACGGGGCGCAGCAGGCGCGAAACCUUCGCAAUGUGCGAAAGCGUGACGAGGUUAGUCCGAGUGGUCUCCGCUGAGGAAACCUUUUGUCAGCUCUAAAAAGGCUGGCGAAUAAGGGGAGGGCAAGCCUGGUGUCAGCCGCCGCGGUAAUACCAGCUCCUCGAGUGGUCGGGGCGAUUAUUGGGCCUAAAGCAUCCGUAGCCUGUUCCGUAGGUCUUCUGUUAAAUCCAACUGCUCAACGGUUGGCCCGCAGGAGAUACCGCGGGACU